Molecule: ribosomal RNA, 754 nt
Filed under: uncultured archaeon
Lineage: Archaea
Description: bacterial SSU rRNA
Rfam family: Archaeal small subunit ribosomal RNA
Source: RNAcentral
AGUCAACCUGCCCUAGGGACGUGGAUAACCACGGGAAACUGUGGCUAAACCACGAUAGGUCAUCGCUGCUGGAAUGGGCAAUGGCUCAAACCUACAUGGCCCUAGGAUGGGACUGCGGCCGAUCAGGUCGUUGGCGGGGUAAUGGCCCACCAAGCCUGUAACCGGUACGGGCUCUGAGAGGAGGAGCCCGGAGAUGGGCACUGAGACAAGGGCCCAGGUCCUAUGGGACGCAGCAGGCGCGAAACCUUCGCAAUAGGCGAAAGCCUGACGAGGUUAAUCCGAGUGUUUUCUGCUAAAGGAAUCUUUUGUCAGCUCUAAAUAGGCUGAUGAAUAAGGGGUGGGCAAGCCUGGUGUCAGCCGCCGCGGUAAUACCAGCACCCCGAGUGGUCGGGAUGAUUAUUGGGCCUAAAGCAUCCGUAGCCGGUCCUGUAAGUCUUCCGUUAAAUCCACCUGCUCAACAGUUGGGCUGCGGGAGAUACUGCAGGACUAGGAGGCGGGAGAGGCGAGGGGUAUUCCUUGGGUAGGGGUAAAAUCCUCUGAUCCAUGGAGGACCACCAGUGGCGAAGGCGUCUCGCCAGAACGCGCUCGACGGUGAGGGAUGAAAGCUGGGGGAGCAAACCGGAUUAGAUACCCGGGUAGUCCCAGCUGUAAACGAUGCAGGCUCGGUGAUGGACUGGCUUCGAGCCAGUCCAGUGCCGCAGGGAAGCCGUUAAGCCUGCCGCCUGGGGAGUACGGUCGCAAGACUGAAACUUAA